This 481-nucleotide ribosomal RNA is filed under the name uncultured bacterium. RNAcentral's name for it is "bacterial SSU rRNA". It matches the Rfam family "Bacterial small subunit ribosomal RNA", at positions 28 to 513 of the family's 1533-position model. The record is from RNAcentral.
GACGAACGCUGGCGGCGUGUCUAAAACAUGCAAGUCGAACGAGGUAGCAAUACCUAGUGGCGAACGGCGGAGUAAUACAUGAACAACGUGCCCUAAAGCCCGGGACAAACGCAGAAAUGCCAUAAAUACCGGAUGUGGUCCAGACCUGGCAUCAGGAUUGGAUUAAAUGGUUUUUUCGCUUUAGGAGCGGUUCAUGGCCUAUCAGGUAGUUGGUGGGGUAAUGGCCUACCAAGCCGACGACAGGAGCGGGUCUGAGAGGAUGAUCCGCUCGAGUGGGACUGAGACACGGCCCAGACUCCUACGGGAGGCAGCAGUGGGGAAUAUUGGACAAUGGGGGAAACCCUGAUCCAGCGACGCCGCGUGUGUGAAGAAGGCCUGCGGGUUGUAAAGCACUUUUAGUGGGGAUGAAAUGUGCAGGGUUAACACCUCUGCUAUUUUGACCUAACCCACAAGAAAAGCACCGGCUAACUCUGUGCCAGCA